CCCGCUCUGGAGGCCGCGCUGCCGCCUGGGAAUAGCGGGCUCGGCGUCACCCGGCGCGGGGCCACGUGACGCGGGAAAAGCCCGAGGCGGCGGGGCUGGCGCAGGCGGAGCUCGCGCCAGCGGAGCAGCAGCUGAGGCCCUGGUGGGGAAGGGGCUGCCCAGUGAGGUUACUCGACGGGUCCCGGCCUCGCGCGCACGUGCCCGCCUGCUCGCGCUCGCGGUCUUGGGCGCUGACGAUGUUUCUCCAUUAUAUUCCUGCGGUAAAUGUUACUGUCAAGAAACCUGAUGCCAACUUGAUUUUCUUCCUUUGUGAUUUUGGACCACGUGACUGCGUGACGGCCAAUGGGAAUGUGAAAGGAAGAGAUGUGCCACUUCCUGUCUGAGGCGGUUGAGUAGAUGAGGAAACUGUGGCUCAGAGAGCUGAGAUAACUGAGCAUGGAGCUGGAAGUCCAUGGAGCACACCUGGAAGUCAAGGUAUUUAUCCAGGAGGAUGACAACAUAGGUUUUCAAAAAGACUCAUACAGUCAACAAAGAAUUUGUCGUAUAUUCACUCAUACACUGGAAUACUUGCAAUGCAGAGGAAAACAACACCUUUAUUCCCUAAAAGACUGCAUGAACCUCCCAGAUGUCAUGUUGAGAGAAAGAAGAAAGACGUAAGAAUAUAUACAACGUGGGGAAUUGACUCACAAGAUUAGUGGAGGCUCAGAAGUCCUGCAAUCUGUCAUCUGCAAGCUGAAGGCCCAGGAAAGCUGAUGUUGCAGUCUGAAGGCCUGAGAACUGGGGAGCCAAAGGUGUAAAUUCCAGUCCAAGUCUGAAGGCCUGAAAACCAGGAGUAAAAAGGGCAGAUGAUUGAUGUCCCAGCUCAAUCAGUCAGGUGGAGAGAGAGAGAGAGAGAAUCCUCCCUUCUUCGAGGUUUUUGUUCUAUUCAGGCCCUCAGUGGCUUAGAUGAUGCCUACUUACAUUGAGGAGGGCAACACACUUUACUCAGUCCAGCAAUCCAAAUGCUAUCUCUCUGGAAACAUCCUCACAGACACACUCAAAAAUGUUUAACUGGAUAUCCAGGUACCUGUGAUCCAGUCAAGUUGACACAUAAAAUUAACUGUCACGUGUGCAUAACCUAAAUCUAUUCAUGAGGAGGUAUCAGAUAAUUCCACAUUGAGUCAUUUGGAUCCAAAAUUUUAUCUUCAAACUUCUCAGACCCGUGCGCAUGCAUGUGAGAGAGACCUGGACAGGAGCGGGGAGCUGGAAGCCAGGCCUCAAGUGUUGCAUGUCACUUGAACUUACAGCCUGUUGCCCAGAACCCCAUAAUGUCAUCAGUCUAAUCACAGGGUAGCUGAGAAAUAUGAGGAGCAUGUGGGUAUGAGUGAGCACUGACAGUCUCUGUGACAACAGCUCAGAGCCAGCAGAGCCCAGUGGAGAAUGGGAAUGAAGCCAGGUAAUGUGUUCACCCAGCAUUCACCCAGCACCACAAUGACCAGACAGAGCCAGAUGACAGCCCUCCAGAUCUGCCUGUUGUUGAGUGACAGGUCUUACAAGGUCUCUUUAAGUGUGAGCAUCAGAACAUGCAAUGAUAGAACCCAUAAACGAAUCUGUGGAACCACAGAGAAGAAAUAUUAUUCUGUGAAGUCAGAAGCAUAGACUUCUAAAAUUCAUUUUUUACUGAAACCUGGGGAAAUUUUUAGGAAACUGUUUGGUAUCACCUCUGACAUAGGAGCCUAAAGACAUACAGAUAUUACUGAGGUAGAAUGAAAAAAUGUGAAAUGUAUGAGAUAAGAAUGAUUUAUUGAGCACCUAAAAAUGAAAUCAUAGAAAUAUAAUAUUUAUUGGAGUUAGUAAAGAGCAAAAUCAACAGCACAAAAAUCAUAUCCGUGAUGUGAAAGACAAAGAUCUCCCAGGAUUCAGAGAAAAAGGACAAAAGAAAAAAGAGUGACUGUGGGAGAUACAGAGGAUAAGGAGCAGAGAUACAAACUAAAGAUUUACAUAUAUUCCUAAGGAAGGUUGUAGAACAAUUGCAACAGAAGUAGUUGAAGAAAACUUUCAUGAGCUGAAAGAAAAAAAGGAUGUAUAUCAAUUUUAAAAUAUCAACAUAGGCAUGAUAAAUGCAAAUAUAAUCACAUUUAGGUAAAUCCUAGAAUUUUUUUGUAUUUACAGAUAUAAUGGAGAAAACCUAGAACAAGUAAAACCUGCAAGAGAAAAAUAAAUAAAUAAAACUGACCUCAUAUUUCCCUUUACAAUAAAAAAUCUCCAGAAGACAAUGGAAUAUUCUACAAAGUUUUGAGGAAAAAGGAAAGUAACUGGAGAAUGUAAACACAGUUUUUGUGAUUGACCCUUGGAAAAAUACUAAAACCCACUAAUAUCGCCAUUAGACGACCUUUUUUUCUUUCUUAUGAAGAACAAAUGGAAUUUAUAGAUGUGACUAUUGUCUUAAACCAUUUAUAUCUGUGUGCUUUUCCUCCAGAAUAUUAGCUACAGGUUGCAGCAAAGUGGAGAAGAAUCAAGGGAAAACAUACAGUCCUUGCAAAUUUCCUAUUAAAAAAUCAUCUUUCUUUUUCAGUGUGCUACCUUAUUUCAUGUUAAAGGAUAAAGAGAAUCUUAUUGAUACCAUGUAUAGAAUAGAUAACUAAGGAGAACCUACUGUAUAGCACAGGGAACUCUACUCAGUGCUCUGUGGUGAGCUAAAUGAGAAGGAAAUCCAAAAAAGAGGGGAUAUAUGUACACGUAUAGCUGGUUCACUUUGCUGUACAGUAUAAACUAACAAACUAUUGUAAAGCAACUAGACUUCAGUUAAAAAAAAAAAAAAAAAGAAUAAAGGGAAUCUUACCCUUCAAUGCCCCAAAUGAAUACAAAGUGUAAUGACUGCAAGUCUCCAUUAAACUUUCCCAAAGGAAAGGGCCUGAUUCCCUAUCCAGAGCCAACUCUUCCCCUUAGGCACUGACUCCCAACCCCUCUUAUCUAUUCAAAGACAUCUCAUCUAUUUUCCCCUACGUGAUCAAAUUUCCUUCUCUAUCAGAUCUUUUUCAUCAGCAGAAAAAUAAAUCCUGCAUAUUUCCCCUCCUACUAACGUCCCAUUUCUCUGCUCCCCUUUACAGCAAAUGACUUUUAAAGAUUUCCUUUCUUUUCUUUCUUUCUUAGUAAAGUUAACACAUAGAAUGGAUCAUCACAUCUACCAAGGGCCUUGGCAUUUAUUCUUCCCUCUUCUUAGAACACUCUUUCCCUAGGUAUUCACAUGGCUCCCUCUCUCAGUUCCUUCAGGUCUCUUCUCAAAUGCUGUAAUAUCAGAGGGGUAUAUUCUGACACCCCCCAUAUCUCACACUAGCAUUCCCUGGUCCCCCUUUCCAACUAUUAUUUUUCCUCUUUAGCCUGUACCACCACCUGUUAUAUUAUGUAUUUCUUUACUGACUAUCUUGCCUCUCUCAGCCCCCACUUGCAUGUAAGCUUCAUAAAGGCAGAGAUUUUGUCUAUUAUAUUCACUACUGAAUCCCCGAGCCUGGCAUCCCCGAGUCUUUCAGUGAAUAUGUGUUUAAUGAACUAAGAUUUAAUUACAACCAUGAAAGUCAUCUCACCAAUGCAGAGAGAAGAGGGAGAAGAUAGAUGAAAUUCACAUAUGCCAAAUCAUGUAAUAUUCCCUUGAGUUUUAGUAUUUUGAGGGAUUUCUCUUUCUUUUUUUUCUCUAGUUCCAUUAAACAAAAAUAUGUUAAUAAAAGUUCUAUCCAUUGAGAAGAACAAAGUUGGAGGACUGAUGCUCUUUGACUUCAAGACCUAUAAAGCUAUAGUAAUUAAGACAGUGUGGUAUUGGUGAAAGAGAAGACAAAUGGAUCAAUAGAUCAGAAUAGAGAGCGAGAAAUAGACUCCAAUAAAUAUAGUCAAUUGAUCUUUGACAAAGGAGCAAAGGCAAUACAGUGGAGCAAAGGUAAUCUCUUCAACAAAUAUUGCUGGAACAACUAGACAGCCACAUGUAAAACAUGAAUCUAGACACAGACCUUAUACCAUUCACCAAAAAGAACUUAAAAUAGAUCAUAGACCUAAAUGUAAAACACAGAAUUAUAUAACUCUUAGAAGAUAAGAUAGGAGAAAACCUAGAUGACCUUGGGUAUGGUGACACCUUUUCAGACACAACACCAAAGAGAUGAUCCAUGAAAGAAAGAAAGAAAGAAAAAUGAGAUGAUCUCAUUUCUAAGGCAUUGACAAACUGGACUUCGUUAAGAUUAAAAUCUUCUGCUCUGCUAAAGACAAAAUCACAUGAAUUAGAGGACAAGCCACAGACCGGGAGAAAAUAUUUGCAAAAGACACGUCUGAUAAAGGACUUUUAUCCAAAAUAUACAAAGAAGUCUUAAAACUCAGCAGUACAAAAACAAAUAAGCUCAUUUUAAAAUGAGCCAAAGACCUUAACAGACACCUCACCAAAGGAGACAUACAAAUGGCGAAAAAGCAUAUAAGGAGAUGCUCCACAUCACGUGUCAUCAGGGAAAUGCAAAUUAAAACAACAAUGAAAUAUCAUUACACAUCUGUUAGAAGGGUCCAAUCCAAACACUGAAAAUGCCAAUGGCUAGUAAGGCUGGGAGCAGCGGGAACGCUCACACCUUGCUGGUGGGAAUGCAGCCACUUUGGAAGAUGAUUUGGCAGUUCCUUACAAAACUAAACAUACUUUUACCAUAAGAUCCAGUAAUCACAUUCCUUUGUAUUUACCCAAAGGUUCUGCAAACUUAUGUCCACACAAAAACCCACACAGGCAUGUUUAUAGCAGCUUUAUUCAUAACUGCCAAAACUUGGAAGCAGCCAAGAUGUCCAUUAGUAGGUGAAUGGGUAAAUAAAUUAUGGUAGGUCCAGGCAAUGGAAUAUUACUCAGGGCUAAAAAAUAAAUGAGCCAUGAAACCAUGCAAAGACGUGGAAGAACCUUAAAUGCAUAUAACUGAGUGAAAGAAGCCAAUCUGAAAGCUUACAUAUGGAAAAAGCCACACUAUGGGAGACAGAAAGAAGAUCAGAGUUGCCAAGGGUUGGAAGGCAGGGGAGAGAUGAAUAGGUGGAACAAAGAAUUUUUAAGGCAGUGAAAAUACUCUGUGUGAUAUUGUAAGAUUAAUACGUGCCGUUAUACAUUUGUCCAGACCCAUAGAAUGUGCAAAACCAAGAGUGAACCCUAAGUUAAACUAUGGGCUGUGGGUAAUGUGAUGUGUCAAUGUAUGUAAAAAUGUACCCUUCUGAUGAGUGGUGUGAUCAUGAGGGAAGCUCUGCAUGUGUGGGAGCAGGGGAUAUACGGGAAUCCUCUGUACCUCUCUUGAAAUUUUGUGGUAAACCUAAAACCACUCUUAAAAAAGUCUUUAAAAAGGUCCUACCCAUCUACACACUAUAAUAUUGCUGAUUUUGUUGGUGUUUGAACUACAAAGCAAGGAACUGAAAAUCAGAAUUCAAAUCUCUUUUUUGUUCCUCAACUUUUUAUCUUGAUGAAAAUAUUUGUUUUGAUGCCUUUUGUUUAAGAAAAUGAUCAUUGUCUAUUUAAAGUGAAGGGGAGAUCGUGUGAAUUUUUUUUUCAUGUAUGGGUAUGAAAAUCUGUUUUUUUCCACCAAAUAUCUCAGUUGAGAGAAGAAUAUUAAUUUUUUGGACAUCUCUCAUAACAUUUUAAUAAAUGUUUAUUGAGCACUUAUAUACCUGGCAUUCUAAAAGAAAGUUCUUAUUUUCUUUGUUGUUAAUAAGACUGGGGUUGACAUACUAUGGUCUCCAGGCCAGAUCUGGACCAUUGCCCAUUUUUAUUAAAAAAUGUUUUAUCGGGGCAUAACCACAUUUAUUCAUAUAGGGAUUCUCUAUGGCUGCUUUCGCUUUACAAUGAUGAAGAUGAGUAGUUGCAAUAGAGACUGUAGACCCACAAAGAAAAUAUUUACUAUCUUGUACUUUAAAGUUUUCUGACCCUUGAUCUAGGGAAUAUGCCGUGAUAUAAAGGCAUUGCCUCUAGGACAGAAAAAUAUGAAUGGGGUUAAGAAGAAUGGAAGGAAGGCUGCCUUGGGUGACCAACGAGGCAAUGCAGGGCCAAGGAGAUAAGACCCUGACCCAGGGGAACGCUGGUCAGGUGUGUGAAAAAAAGAAUGAUUGGCAAUGAAGGGUUGGUCCCAAGGGAAGAUGGUGACCUGCAGAGUUGCAAAUAAGGGGUGUCUGUUGGAGUGAAAGUCGGCUGAGACAGUCUGCUCAUAAAUCAUGUGGAAAUCCUUGACAGAAAGAGACCUGCAAAGGAACAGGAAUGAUACUGUGGCUGGAGAAAAAUGUGUAGCAGAAAAUGAAAACAGAAAUGCCUCAUUUUUCUUAUGCUUGAGCAAAAAAACACGCGGUUGGUAGCACAGUGAUGGGAGGAGAGAAACAGGUAACCACAGCCUCUUGUUCUUCUGCCAGGCCUGCAGCUGUUUGUCAGACUCUCAGAACAAACAUACAUGUUCACAUUGGUCGUUAGUGGAGCGGAGUCUUUUGAGGAUUAUCCUAUUGGGGAAAUACUUAGCUUUGAGCAAAGGGAGGAGACAUUUCAGCACAGCUGUCUCCGUAGUAGGUGGACAGUAUUGGAUACGUUUGAAAUGAGAAGAAACGUACAUGAUUCAAACAGGAGUUCUCAUAGGUCCAGGGACAGGACAGGGAGAGGGAAUGUCAUAGAAGCAAAAGGUACCCCACCUGUAUCCCCGUAAACAACUGCACAGCAGCCUAAGUUCCAGCUGCCUACAGGCUCUUUCUGGCAACUGAAGCCCACUCAGUUGGGCACAAAAAGCUGGAAGUUCGAGAAAAUACCACUCCCGCAAGCAGCCCUCCAUUAGUGACUAAAGGGAGUGGGCAAAUAAGACUCUAAUUCCUAUAGCCCUUAGGUGGGAUAAUUCUGAGGCGCGUGUCUCCCUGUUUCUCCCAGAGUUCCCUUGUGGGGUUGAGCUCCUAUCAACCGCAGUGACACUGGCUUGAGAACCUACCAUUUUCCUGUCUCACUUCCCCACUCCCCUAGCAGUCCCGGGAUCACUUUGAAUCCUUGUCUCCAGGUCUCCUUCUGGAGAAUCCAAAUUACGGCAGUUCUCUACAUUGAGGUGAGAGGUGGCAUGAAAUUGGGGGCCUACAUGAGAAUAUAUCUGAGUUGUACUCAAGGAAGAGUAUUAAGAUUGUAUUGAGACCAACAGGUUCAACCUCCUGGCUUGAGAAGCAAGAUAAAGCCCUAAAUAUGAGAACGAGUAACUAAGAUCACACACAAGAAGAAAGAUGGAGGGCAUUUGGGAUGGUGUUGCUGAGCCAGUUGGGCUAGUGGUUUGGAAUUAAAGCCACAAAUGACAGAAAGCAGUUCGCUGAAGAUGUACCACUUUUUGGCCCAGACUUGGAGCAGGUAAAUAAUAAGAAUUAGUAAUACUUAGACAUCCAUUACAUGUAAAUUCAACCCAAACAAUUUUUAUAGAAGCCAAAUUGUAUACCUUAUACUGCAUUAGGAACUUGGGGGUAUGAAGUUGAGUAAACAAAAUUCCUGCUCUCAAGUGACAUGACAAUAGUACGGCUUUAGUCACCACCAUAUUUUGUCAUUAAAGCAACCCAGUAGGCAGCCUGGGUGUGCAUACUGACAUCCUAAAAAGAGAAAAGCUGAGAAGUCAAGAGCGGUUGAUAUUCACAAAGAUCGUGAAUGGGAGAGGUAGAUCAAGAACCCAGGACUCUAAGAACUGGUUGAGUUUUAAAUUUUUAUUUAUUUUUUAGUAUUUUUUCUUUCUACCACUCUACUCCUUUGUAAUUAUAAUGUUUAAUCAGAGGAUCAGAAUUGCACAGUACUCAAAUGGAAAGAAUUUCUCUGUCUAGUCAAUUAUCUACAGCAAUUUAAUACUAUUCAAGUCAGCAUGUGUUUAUAGAGCAUCUACUAGGCAAGAGGAACUGUGCUUUCUAGUCUAGGGGAGAUGAAGGGCACACACUUAUGUACAAGGAAAUAAGGUAGCAGUAUAUGUUGCCUUUUAUAUAUAACACCGUAACAAAUAUUGAAGUGAUAAAUUAUGUGUUUCAGACAGGGCCAGUAUUAAUGAAUUGGUAAUGAGUCUAUUUGUCAAAAGUAGCACUAAGAGGAGACCUUCAAGAUGGCAGAGGAGUAAGAUGCGGGGAUGACCUUCCUCCCCACAAAUGCAUCAGAAAUACACCUACAUGUGGAACAACCCCUACAGAACACCUACUGAACGCUGGCAGAAGAUCUCAGACCUCCCAAAAGGCCAAAAACUCCCCACGUACCUGGGUAGGGCAAAAGAAAAAAGAAUAAACAGAGACAAAAGAAUAGGGACGGGACCUGCACCAGUGGGAGGUAGCCGUGAAGGAGGAAAUGUUUCCACGUGCUAGAAGCCCCUUUGCGGGUGGAGCCUGCGGGUGGCGGAGGGGGAAGCUUCGGAGCCGCGGAGGAGAGAACAGCAACAGGGGUGCAGGGGACAAAGUGGAGAGAUUCCCGCACAGAGGAUCGGUGCCGACCGGAACUCACCAGCCCGAGAGGCUUGUCUGCUCACCUGCCGGGGUGCGGGGGUGGGGGGCUGGGAGCUGAGGCUCGGGCUUCGGUCGGAGCGCAGGGAGAGGACUGGGGUUGGCGGCAUGAACACAGCCUGCAGGGGGCUAGUGCACCACGGCUGGCUGGGAGGGAGUCUGGGAAAAGGUUGGAGCUGCCGAAGAGGCAAGAGACUUUUUCUUCCCUCUUUGUUUCCUGGUGCGCGAGGAGAGGGGAUUCAGAGCGCCGCUUAAAGGAGCUCCAGAGAUGGGCGCGAGCCACGGCUAUCAGCGCGGGCCCCACAGAUGGGCACGAGACGCUAAGGCUGCUGCUGCCGCCACCAAGAAGCCUGUGUGCGAGCACAGGUCACUGUCCACACCCCCCUUCCGGGGAGCAUGUGCAGCCCGCCACUGCCAGGGUCCCGGGAUCCAGGGACAACUCUGGGACAACAUUAAAUGCACCAACAUUCAAAAUAUAAGGGUCCCAAAAGAAGAAGAGAAAAAGAAAGGGACAGAGAAAAUAUUUGAAGAGAUUAUAGUUGAAAAUUUCCCUAAUAUGGGAAAGGAAAUAGUCAAUCAGGUCCAGGAAGCACAGAGAGUCCCAUACAGGAUAAAUCCAAGGAGAAAUACGCCAAGACACAUAUUAAUCAAACUAUCAAAAAUUAAAUACAAAGAACAAAAAAAAUUAAAUACAAAGAACAAAUAUUAAAAACAGCAAGGGAAAAACAACAAAUAACACACAAGGGAAUCCCCAUAAGGUUAACAGCUGAUCUUUCAGCAUAAGUUCUGCAAGCCAGAAGGGAGUGGCAGGACAUAUUGAAAGUGAUGAAAGGGAAAAACCUACAACCAAGAUUACCCAGCAAGGAUCUCAUUCAGAUUCGACAGAGAAAUUAAAACCUUUACAGGCAAGAAAAGCUAAGAGAAUUCAGCACCACCAAACCAGCUUCACAGCAACCCAAUCCAAAAAUGAGCAGAAGACCUAAAUAGACAUUUCUCCAAAGAAAAUAUACAGAUUGCCAACAAACACAUGAUAGGAUGCUCAACAUCACUAAUCAUUAGAGAAAUGCAAAUCAAAACUACAAUGAGGUAUCACCUCACACCAGUCAGAAUGGCCAUCAUCAAAAAGUCUACAAACAAUAAAUGCUGGAGAGGGUGUGGAGAAAAGGGAACCCUCUUGCACUGUUGGUGGGAAUGUAAAUUGAUACAGCCACUAUGGAGAACAGUAUGGAGGUUCCUUAAAAAACUAAGAAUAGAACUACCAUAUGACCCAGCAAUCCCACUACUGGGCAUAUACCCUGAGAAAACCAAAAUUCAAAAAGAGUCAUGUACCAAAAUGUUCAUUGCAGCUCUAUUUACAAUAGCCUGGAGAUGGAAACAACCUAAGUGCCCAUCAUCAGAUGAAUGGAUAAAGAAGAUGUGGCACAUAUAUACAAUGGAAUAUUACUCAGCCAUAAAAAGAAACGAAAUUGAGCUAUUUGUAAUGAGGUGGAUAGACCUAGAGUCUGUCAUACAGAGUGAAGUAAAUCAGAAAGAGAAAGACAAAUACCGUAUGCUAACACAUAUACAUGGAAUUUAAGAAAAAAAAAUGUCAUGAAGAACCUAGGGGUAAGACAGGAAUAAAGACACAGACCUACUGGAGAACGGACUUGAGGAUAUGGGGAGGGCGAAGGGUGAGCUGUGACAGGGCGAGAGAGAGGCAUGGACGUAUAUACACUAACAAAUGUAAGGUAGACAGCUAGUGGGAAGCAGCCGCAUGGCACAGGGAUAUCGGCUUGGUGCUUUGUGACCGCCUGGAGGGGUGGGAUAGGUAGGGUGGGAGGGAGGGAGACGCAAGAGGGAAGAGAUGUGGGGACAUAUGUAUAUGAAUAACUGAUUCACUUUGUUAUAAAGCAGAAACUAACACACCAUUGUAAAGCAAUUAUACCCCAAUAAAGAUGUUAAAAAAAAAAAAAAGAGUCAUGUACCACAAUGUUCAUUGCAGCUCUAUUUACAAUAGCCAGGACAUGGAAGCAACCUAAGUGUCUGUCGACCAAUGAAUGGAUAAAGAAGAUGUGGCAUGUAUAUAAAAUGGAAUAUUACUCAGCCAUAGAAAGAAAGGAAAUUGAGUUAUUUGUAGUGAGGUGGAUGGACCUAGAGUCUGUCAUACAGCGUGAAGUCAGUCAGAAAGAGAAAAACAAUUGCCAUAUGCUAACACAUAGAUAUGGAAUCUAAAAAAAAAGAAAAAAAAUGGUUCUGAAGAACCUAGUGACAGGAUAGGAGUAAAGACACAGACGUAGAGAAUGGACCUGAGGACAUGGGGAGUGGGAAGGGUAAGCUGGGACAGAGUGAGAGAGUGGCAUGGACAUAUAUACACUACCAAAUGUAAAAUGGAUAGCUUGUGGGAAGCAGCUGCAUAGCACAGGGAGAUCAGCUCGGUGCUUUGUGACCACCUAGAGGGGUGGGAUAGGGAGGGUGGGAGGAAGAUGCAAGAGGGAGGAGAUAUGGGGAUAUAUGUAUAUGUAUAGCUGAUUCACUUUGUUAUAAAGCAGAAACUAACAGACCAUUGUAAAACAAUUACACUCCAAUAAAGAUGUUAAAAAAAAAAAGUAGCACUAAGUGGUCUUCUAGUCUCCAGGGAAAUCUCACUAAAAAAUCAGCUUCUGAGCAGACAUUGCUGGCUGGAUGGAAUACGGCUGAUGGGGAGGAGGAGGGCUGGCUGGAGGAAUAGCAUCAAUGGGAGGUGAGCAGGGUAUGGGUGGAGAACAGUGGAUAGUAUUAGAAGAGUAUUUUACAGCUGUUCUGAUGGGUUUUUCAAGGUUUUUUGUUUGUUUGUUUGUUUGCGGUACGCGGGCCUCUCACUGUUGUGGCCUCUCCCGUUGCGGAGCACAGGCUCCGGAUGCGCAGGCCCAGCGGCCAUGGCUCACGGGCCCAGCCGCUCCGCAACAUGUGGGAUCCUCCCGGACCGGGGCACGAACCCGUGUCCCCUGCAUCGGCAGGCGGACUCUCAACCACUGCGCCACCAGGGAAGUCCAGCCAUGGUGGGGUUAAAGAGAAAAGGGGAGAUGAAUGUGUAAGAGCCCUGGAAAGGAGAAGGAAAAGGCUAGCCAGCAGUAAGGAAUGACUAAGUGUUUGACUCAGAGUUAGGGGAACACUUGAUUUUGAAAAUAGAUGGCUAGAGGAAUCCCUUCUAGUAGGGAGCUCCUUUUAUAUAGAUUAUCAUUUUAUGAUGGGUAAACUCAGUAUCAUCUUUAAGUCUGAUGUAACUUAAUAAGUAUGGUGGCUAUAAAAAUAUCCACAAUUCUUUGCCUCUCCUCCCACCAAAAGGUGGAGUCCAUAGCCUCACAUGUGCUGGCUCUGGGCUGACCCUGUAAUUUGCUUUGACCCAUAGAAUGUGCUGGUAGUGACAUUGUUCCACAGCCUUGGCCUUCUGAGGCCUGGCAGCUUUUGUGUUUGCCAUCUUGGAAGCCAGUUGCCAUGUAAAAAGUACAAUCACCUUCUCGGAAAGAGGGGCCAUGUGCAGAGAGGCUCUGGAGAAUGGGAGAUUACAAAGGGAGAGAUGCAGCUCUCCCAGCCGCCCAGCUGAGGCAUCAGACAUGAGAGGGAAGCCAUGCUGUGUCUUCCACGCUCAUGAGUGACCCCACUCACACCACAGCGAGCAGAGACAAUCCACCCUGCCUCGCCUCACGCUGGCUGCAAAUCAUGAACAUAUAAAUUGUUGUUGUAAGUCACUAGGGUUUGGAGUAGUUUCUUCCACAGUAGUAGAUAACUGAAACAAAAAUUGGUACUUGAAGCUCAGGUACUGCUUUUAAAUAAGUUAAGUAACUAAAGCCCUAAGACGUGUGGUGUUGGCAUUGAGGAUGAGCUGACGGCAAAGACUGGCAGGGUGACAAGGAAACUAUUAGAGGAGCCUGAAAAAGCAGUGAGGAAAUUACUAAUGGAAGCUGGAUACAGGACAAUCCCUGUUUGGUAGAGGCAGAAUUUUGGCAACACUAUUGCCUGCGGUAAUGUGAAAGAUAGAAAAUCCAACUAAUAAAUUUGUGGAUUUGGCUAAGCAGAUUUCUGGGCAGAAUGUUGAAAGUGCUAUUUGGUUUCUUUCAGCUGUAUAUGGUAAGGUAUUAAGAGAAAGAUGAACUAAAAUGUUAAGUAUUAUGAGUGCAAGCGAAACAGAAGAAAUACAGAGGCCGUAGACAGUCUCUCUGGAAAGCAGAAGUUUUUCAAAAUGAGAUAUCGCCGUAUGGCGAAGACCAAAUCCAGGGUACACUGAGUAAAAUAUGGCCUCAAGCUACAAAGCAAGUUAAGGAGGUGGACGUAAGAUGCUCCUUAAGAUUUCUGGAAGCUUCACAGCAGAGUCUCCUGUAUUUGAAAUCACAAAAUUUUGAAAGUAUCCUGAAGAUUUAUCCUCAGGAGACUGGAUAAAUAAACAAUAAUGUAUCUACACAAUGAAGUACUAUGUACUCAUAAAGAAGAAUAAGGGAGAUCUCUAUGGACUGUUAUGGAAGAAUUAGAAAGAUAGAUUGUUGAGGGGAAAAAACUCAACAUAAAAUGAAUAUACAGAGUAUGAGCUCUUUUGUGAAAGAAAGAAGAAAAAAGAUAUAUAGGUUAUAUAUUUUUUAAAAGUAUUACAUAAAUAUAAAUACAUAAAUAUAAAUGGCACACACACACACACACACACAUUUUUGCCAAAGGAAACAGUUAAGAAUAAAGCAGAUACUAAUGUAAAUGUUACCAAUAAGAGGUGGGUGUAAAUGAGGUGAAAGAGAUAGGAAUAGACAUAAGACCCUUCUAGUAUAUCUUUUGAUAUAACUUUAAAUUUGAAUGAUUUAAAAAUAUACACAGUCGAAAGUAUAAUUAAAUUAUUAGGGUAAACUUUACAGUUGAAUACAAACAGAAAAAAAUGAACUCAACUCAGUAUCAAACAGACAAUCUAACCCCACAGGAAAAAAUAUUCAUUCCUAUAAUGUCUAUACACAUCAUACUCUGAUUCUACACCGUUAGUAGGAUAGAUUUUAAAGACAACAAAAGAAAUCUGGAACUUUGCUUAGUAGAUUCGUUCUUGGUAGAGGUAUUGCUGAAAUCAUUUUGCAUGAAUUGUAGAUAAGUAAAUACAUUGAUAGUUGGUUAAUUCAGUCCGACUCACCAGUGGAAACAGAACACAUUGUGCACCUUAAACUUACACAAUGUUAUAUGUUAAUUAACUCUCAAUUUUUUAAAUGUACUAGGUGUGAGAAUGAUUUUGUGAUUAUAUGUAGAGAGUGUCUUUUUCAAAGAAAGCAGAAAUGAUUAAGACAUGAGUUACUUCUUGCAUAUGCAACUUAAUUCUACCUGUCUUCGUAAAAGUAUUUUAAAAUCACAGAUUUAGCCAUCUCAGCCUUCAUUUUCCCCAAUAACAGAGUUUUCCUUGAAUAAAUUUGUAUUUCUGAAAAGAAAGCUAAGUUACUGCAAAAUUCUCUUACGAGGGCUUAUGAUUUGCUAAUAUGUGCUUUCCACGCCAGGAAAUCAGUUCAUGAGUCUUCAGACCAAGAUAAAAUCUGAAAUUUCUUUUAAAAAUUUUAAGUAGAUUUACUCUAAUUUUUCUGUGGAAAAAAUCCUCAUUACUUUGAAAAGAGGAAUUACUUUCCUUUAGAAGAUUCUGUCUUUAUGAUGAUUGUUUUAGUAACACUUUACCUAAGGCUUAAGUCUCUGUAACCCAUUCUUCUCUUCUACUGAAAGCAUUCUACACUUGCUCUCUUUUUUUCUCUGUCUACAUCCUCACCUCCUACAAUUCCUUGUUUUUUUCCUUAAGUUCUCUCUGACCUACUCUCCCAUGUGGUUGCUUUUGGCUUCAUGCCCACAAGCCAAUAAAGAUGGACCAAUCUUUCUUUCCAAAGCUCCCAAACACAUGCUCAAUUAUAAAAAUCCUAAUAGUUUCCAAUAAUCAGAAUUUCUAAUAAUCAGUUUUCUUCAUGAAGUCUUCUCAGUUUCAAUUUUUAUCCUUUCUCGUCUGUUUGCAAUUUAGAAUGGAUGAUUAUACAUGUUUUCAGUGAUUUAAAUUUAAAAUAAUAUUAGUUUAAAUUCUUUCAAUUAGAAUUUCUCCCCAUGACCUCAGACCCACAUAGUCUUACCCUAGUAGUAGUCCUAACACAAUGCAGCCAUUUGUUUAGGCUUGGAGUACUUUAGAGCAGGAAGGCAUAGGUAGGAAGUUGCUAAACUGGAAUCAUCAAUGCUUAAGACGGAAGAAAUAGCCUACCUGAAUAGAAUGUUGGAUGCUUUCAAAUGUGUUUUAAAACUAUAUUGAAUUUUGAGUUUAUUGUUCCCUUGCUUUUUUAAAGUCAAAAAUAUUGAUGUGUAAUACGUACCCAAUAAAUAUCACCCAUUUUAACUGUACAGUUUGAUAAAUUUGGACAAAUGUAGAGUGUUAUGUAACCAACACCGAAAUCAAGACAGAGAACAUUUCCAUCAACUCAAAAAGGUCCCUCCUGAGUCAUGAUCUUUGGGGACAUUCCCUUCUCUCUACUCCCAGCCUUUGGCAACCACUGAUCUAUUUUCUGUGCCUAUAUGACAUUUUGCAGAGUCUCGUAUAAAUAAAAUCACACAGUAUGUAGAUUUUUGUGUCUGGAUUCUUUCAUUUAGCAUAUUUGAGACUCAUCCAUGUUUUUACAUGUAUCAGUAGUUCUUUUUAUUUUACUGAAUAGUAUCCCAUUGUACGGAUGGACUACAGUCUGUUUACCUAUUCACCAGUUAAUGGACAGUUGGGUUCUUUCUAGAUUUUUAUUAUGAAAAAGUCUCUUUAAACAUUCAUGCAAGGUCUUUGUAUGGAUAUAUGUUUUCAUUUCUUGUGGAUGAAUACCUAGGAACAAAAUGGUUGUCAUGUGGUAAGUGCAUAUUUAAUUUUAUAAGAAAAUGCCAAAUUGUUUUUGCAAAGAGAUUGCACCAUUUUGCAUUCCCACCAACAAUGUAUAGAUUUUCAGUUGCACCAUAUAUUAUACCUACCAAAACUCAGUAAUAUCAGUUGUUUAGAUUUUAUCAAUUCUAGUAGGGGUGUAAAGGUAUAUCACUGUAGUUUUAUUUUGCACUUUUCUAAUAUCUAGCAAAUUUUAACAUCACCUCAUUUGUUCAUUUGCCAUCCAUAUAUCUAUUUUGGUUAAAUGACUGUUUCAACCUUUUGCUCACUAAGAAAAAAAGAAAAAAUCUGGUGGUUAUCUUCUUAUUGAGUUGUAAGUGUCCUAUAUAUAUUUGUAAUACAAGUCCCUUAACAGAUAUGUGUUUUGCAAGUAUUUAUUCCAACCUGUAGCUUAUCUUUUCAUUUUCUUAACAGUUUACCUCAAAAACCUGAUGUUUCAAAUUUUAAUAAAAUCAUUUCUAUUAA
Globicephala melas (long-finned pilot whale) is the source of this 15772-nucleotide non-coding RNA. The record is from RefSeq and is a predicted model, not a curated record. Lineage: Eukaryota; Metazoa; Chordata; Mammalia; Artiodactyla; Delphinidae.